GAAACGACUGCUAAGACUGGAUAGGAGACAAGAAGGCAUCUUCUUGUUUUUAAAAGACCUAGCAAUAGGUAUGCUUAGGGAAGAGCUUGCGUCACAUUAGUUAGUUGGUGGGGUAAUGGCCUACCAAGACGAUGAUGUGUAGCCGGGCUGAGAGGUCGAACGGCCACAUUGGGACUGAGACACGGCCCAAACUCCUACGGGAGGCAGCAGUAAGGAAUUUUCGGCAAUGGAGGAAACUCUGACCGAGCAAUGCCGCGUGAACGAUGAAGUAUUUCGGUACGUAAAGUUCUUUUAUUAGGGAAGAAAAGAUGGUGGAAAAACCAUUAUGACGGUACCUAAUGAAUAAGCCCCGGCUAACUAUGUGCCAGCAGCCGCGGUAAUACAUAGGGGGCAAGCGUUAUCCGGAAUUAUUGGGCGUAAAGGGUGCGUAGGCGGUUAAAUAAGUUUAUGGUCUAAGUGCAACGCUCAACGUUGUGAUGCUAUAAAAACUGUUUAGCUAGAGUUGGAUAGAGGCAAGUGGAAUUCCGUGUGUAGUGGUAAAAUGCGUAAAUAUACGGAGGAACACCAGAAGCGAAGGCGGCUUGCUGGGUCUUAACUGACGCUGAGGCACGAAAGCGUGGGGAGCAAACAGGAUUAGAUACCCUGGUAGUCCACGCCCUAAACGAUGAGUACUAAACGUUGGAUAAAACCAGUGUUGAAGUUAACACAUUAAGUACUCCGCCUGAGUAGUACGUACGCAAGUAUGAAACUUAAAGGAAUUGACGGGACUCCGCACAAGCGGUGGAUCAUGUUGUUUAAUUCGAAGGUACCCGAAAAACCUCACCAGGUCUUGACAUGCUUUUGCAAAGCUGUAGAAAUACAGUGGAGGUUAUCAGAAGCACAGGUGGUGCAUGGUUGUCGUCAGCUCGUGUCGUGAGAUGUUGGGUUAAGUCCCGCAACGAGCGCAACCCUUGUUGUUAAUUGCCAUCAUUAAGUUGGGGACUUUAGCAAGACUGCCAAUGAUAAAUUGGAGGAAGGUGGGGACGACGUCAAAUCAUCAUGCCCCUUAUGACCUGGGCUACAAACGUGAUACAAUGGCUGUUACAAAGGGUAGCUAAAGCGUAAGCUUCUGGCGAAUCUCAAAAAAGCAGUCUCAGUUCGGAUUGAAGUCUGCAACUCGACUUCAUGAAGUUGGAAUCGCUAGUAAUACAGCGAAUCAGCAUGUCGCGGUGAAUACGUUCUCGGGGUUUGUACACACCGCCCGUCA
RNAcentral lists this ribosomal RNA (1246 nucleotides) under 'Vitis sp.' yellow leaf phytoplasma. RNAcentral describes it as "bacterial SSU rRNA". It matches the Rfam family "Bacterial small subunit ribosomal RNA", at positions 153 to 1399 of the family's 1533-position model. The record is from RNAcentral. Lineage: Bacteria; Bacillati; Mycoplasmatota; Mollicutes; Acholeplasmatales; Acholeplasmataceae.